Electrophorus electricus (electric eel) is the source of this 2450-nucleotide non-coding RNA. The record is from RefSeq and is a predicted model, not a curated record. NCBI's taxonomy places the organism in Eukaryota, Metazoa, Chordata, Actinopteri, Gymnotiformes, Gymnotidae.
GGAGGGGUCGCGAGCACACGGCGGAGAGCGCGGGAUCAAAGUGUCAGUGGAAUUGCGCUGGACUGGCGUCGCGCGGGCGUAAACGCAUUAUUCUCUGAGAUGCACGCAAGUGAAGUUUGUUUUCCUCCAAAGCACGCGUUAACUUCGCGUCGCUGCAUUAAUUUAAUGUCAUCGUCACCGCCGAAGAUCUGUCAGUCCUUCAGAGAAGCCUGUUGCCAUGCCGGUAUUCCUGCUCAUCCUGCGGCGUCUGUUGCCCCCUGCUGGUAACGGAAGGCUCUGUCUCCACUAGGUAAUGUGAGGGCAAAGAAGAGAAUUUUAAGAUAAUUCCCUGAACAUGACAUAAGGCUAAUUUUAAUCUCAUUAACACAUUUAAUUUGGUUUUACCUACUGUUGGAUUGAAAACUUCCUUUACUGUUUCUCCUUUUUGUCAAAGGACAGUUUGGAUUCACCAGUUCACAUCUCAGACUCUGGUAAUACCUCCUAGGUUUCCCUUAAAUGCCUUGGUGUCUGGCUAUAGUUCUAAUUAACAUAGACCACUUUCUUUCACUCAAGCAUUGCUGACUUCGUUCGAGGUAUUCCCUGCACUUAUGUUGACUUGCAUCCCAUCAUAUUUUAAUUUAAACUUGUUUAUGUCCUCAUUUUUUUUCUCAGUCAUUUUAAAUGAAUUAUGCUCUUGAUAUCCACAACAAAACUGCUGUAACUGUUCUAUUUCAUUGCUGAGCCAUCUAGCCUCCUCAUCUGUAUAUGUUUUUACCCAGUAUACAUAUGUCUCUUUCUCAUCACCAAACCUCUACGUCCUGGCACUUGGUCUUCAGCUCCACAAUCUCUUUUCUUAUUUAUACAUGCAACAUUUGAAUUGUUCUUCUUGUGUUGUUUGCUCAGUUCUUCCAUGUCAUGCUCCCUGUCCUGGGUUUUCUGAUCAUACUGCAGUUUUACCUCUUCCAGCUCUGUCACACUAUGUUCACACGUUUUGAUGUGCGAUUCACACUUUUUUUUGUGAUCCUCCAGCUUCUGGUGCAGCCGCUCUCUCUCGUCAUCUUUGUCUGACGUCUCUUCAGUCGGUAUCAUGCGGUUCCACCUUAUUUGCUAUACCUUCAUCUGCAUUUCCUCAUGCUAGGCCAUUAACCUGUUUAAUCUUUCACUUUGUUUUUCCGCCAUGUGUUACUCACACUGCCCCUUCAACUUGUCAGUAUUUUUGCCCCUUUCCUACAACUUUUCUUCAUAAAGGUCUUGUAUUUCAUUCUCUUUCUCCAUAAUCAUCUUCUCAUGUGAAGCUUUUGGCUUCUCCGUGUCUUUUUCAAUUUUCAUUAUCUUGUCUUGUGGAGAUUUCUUGAAUAUCGUUGUCUUUUUCAUUUAGGAUCAGUGUGUUUUCAUUUCCUCAAAUUCUCCCUGUUUGGAUAUGUGCAUGCCCUCAAUCUUCUGCCACAACAGAAGUCUUGAAUAUCUUUGCCUUUCAUUUAGGUUCACUGUGUAACCUGUUUUCAGUCGGUCAAGUUCCCUCUGUUUGGUUUUGUGCAUGCUCUCAUACUUCUGCCAGAACGUAUUAUUCUCUCUUAUGCAUCUUCAGUUCAGAAUAAAUUGGUGUGAUUAGAGAAAUGGAUACCCCAGUUCUCCUUGACUAAAUCUAAAGCUAAAUUUUCAAACAGUUCGCAGUUUGUUUGGCAUUGUUUUGUUUUCACAUACAUGAAGCUGACCUCUACACUUUGCUAUUAGAUCUUUCGACUCUGGUUGCCUCACAAGGAAUUGUUCUUCACGUUCGAGUCCAAGCUUUAACCUUCAGGUGAGCAGGACUUUUGUGUGCCCUCACACAGCGGCACCCACAAUUCCCAGCAUGUUCUCAGUCACCUUCCCAUUUCUCUGAGAAGUCUCCCACUGGAAUGACUAGGAGGAAAGCAUGGGGUCCUGGUUCACACAGUGGGAUGCUGUUUGGAAUCUCCUCCUGGAUCUGAGCAGGCAUGUCCUCAGCUCACACGUGGCCCCAGGUUGAGAUGACAGUGGCUAAAACCACUGCCAUCCACCCCGACCCGCCCACGGACGCACUUCUCGAAGCCUUGCUCAACAUCAAAGAUGGUUCGAGCCCAAGAUGUUUUCUGAGGAACUCCUACCUGCCCUCCUUCCUGAGCCCUGAUGUCUGUGACAUCAGACACUGAAUCUUUUCCCUUUAAUGUUUAUAGAGAUAGCACCAAGACACCAAGGUCUGAAAAAAAGAGUUUCCUACGGUUAUCGGAGCACCAGGGGCUGUCACACCCAAACUGGAAGAAGAUCCGAGUUCUGUGUCCAGAAGAGUGCAGUGCUAGGAACAGCACUAAGAGAACCACAGUGAAAAGAACAUAUUUCUUCUGUCCUAAGAGACCUUUUUCAGGCCUUCAACAAUGACAUCACACAAGUAUAGUCUUGUAAAAACGGAGCACAUCUGAAUUUGAAAUAAACAUUUACAUUUUCAAAAGCGA